CUAGGUCGGAUUAGCUAGUUGGUGAGGUAAUGGCUCACCAAGGCGACGAUCCGUAACUGGUCUGAGAGGAUGAUCAGUCACACUGGAACUGAGACACGGUCCAGACUCCUACGGGAGGCAGCAGUGGGGAAUAUUGGACAAUGGGCGAAAGCCUGAUCCAGCCAUGCCGCGUGUGUGAAGAAGGUCUUCGGAUUGUAAAGCACUUUAAGUUGGGAGGAAGGGCAGUAAGUUAAUACCUUGCUGUUUUGACGUUACCGACAGAAUAAGCACCGGCUAACUCUGUGCCAGCAGCCGCGGUAAUACAGAGGGUGCAAGCGUUAAUCGGAAUUACUGGGCGUAAAGCGCGCGUAGGUGGUUCGUUAAGUUGGAUGUGAAAGCCCCGGGCUCAACCUGGGAACUGCAUCCAAAACUGGCGAGCUAGAGUACGGUAGAGGGUGGUGGAAUUUCCUGUGUAGCGGUGAAAUGCGUAGAUAUAGGAAGGAACACCAGUG
This 491-nucleotide ribosomal RNA is filed under the name uncultured Pseudomonas sp. RNAcentral's name for it is "bacterial SSU rRNA". It matches the Rfam family "Bacterial small subunit ribosomal RNA", at positions 231 to 714 of the family's 1533-position model. The record is from RNAcentral. Lineage: Bacteria; Pseudomonadati; Pseudomonadota; Gammaproteobacteria; Pseudomonadales; Pseudomonadaceae.